Molecule: ribosomal RNA, 302 nt
Filed under: uncultured bacterium
Lineage: Bacteria
Description: bacterial SSU rRNA
Rfam family: Bacterial small subunit ribosomal RNA
Source: RNAcentral
GUGCUUAACACAUGCAAGUCGAGUGCGCAGUUUCCUGUAGCAAUACAGGAGGCGGGCGCACGGCGCACGGGUGCGUAACACGUGGGCAAUCUGCCCUCGGAUGGGGGAUAACCCCGCGAAAGCGGGGCUAAUACCGCAUGACAUUCCGAAGACUCCGGUCUUUGGACUCAAAGGCCGCAAGGCCGUCUGAGGAGGAGCCCGCGCCCGAUUAGCUAGUUGGUGAGGUAACGGCUCACCAAGGCUUUGAUCGGUAGCCGGUCUGAGAGGAUGGCCGGCCACACUGGAACUGAGACACGGUCCAG